AUCCGCGCAUGAUCACAAGUAGUGUAUGUUUCUGUUAUAAAUCAAGAUUAACAUAUCUUUCUAUUAGAAAGCAAGAUUAACCAUGUAACAUUGUUGGUGAAAAUAAAGGUAAGUUAUUAUUUGUUACACACUUUAGCGCCUCACAUUGCAAGCAUGCUUGCACUGAAUUUGAAUUCUAUUUGCAAAGAUAGGUACAUUAUUAUUUUAUGCCGACACAAUGCACUUUAACAACCUUCCACUAACUGGACCCUCUCAAAUGUGAGAAAAAGUGAAAAGGGAAUAAUCAUACGACUAAGUGGAUUAUUUGUUCUACUUAGAGGAAUUAUAGUUUAUAUACUCGGAUGUGUUAGCAUUCACUUCGUGAUUUUUAUAUAUCUUGGAAGUGAUAUUUAUAUUAUGUGGUCUAACAAAUACUCUCAAUAGUGGUUUCUAGAGUAUGGAAUUGUGUAUCAUGUAUGUAAAUAGGUGGCCGAUUCUUGAGAUGUCUAAGAUGACUUGUUGUCGAAAUGUUGUUGUUGCUUCUUUACUGUCUCUUAUUUGUUU
This 543-nucleotide long non-coding RNA is filed under the name Hordeum vulgare. RNAcentral describes it as "long non-coding RNA (HVUL_LNC016547)". The record is from RNAcentral. Lineage: Eukaryota; Viridiplantae; Streptophyta; Magnoliopsida; Poales; Poaceae.